ACACAGGAAAAUGGAGAGAGUAAUUUUUCCAGAGUUAACAUUAUUUUCCUCUAAAAGAGUAAUUUUUACUCAUUUUGGAUUGUAAUCAUUUCGAUUGGCCUCCAGAGUUGGCGCAAAAGAACAGAGGAAAUUCCAUUGGAGUAAUAUGGCAUGACCACGCCCACUAUCCCGCAGUGGAACAGAGACAACUGUCAGUGGUGAGCCAGGAUGCAAGCUGUGCGUGUGAAGUGCAGAGAACAACAGAAGUACAUCAGUUUUGAGGGCCAACUGACCUACAGAUCAUUUUUGGAAUGCGUUGCCAAGAAGUUCAACAUCCUGAACAUAUCACUUCUCUAAGAUACUUGAUCCAAUUGUGAAGAAUAUGAAAAUCCUGGAGGGGAUGGAAUUACAAUUGCCCUGCAUGAUGACCCAGUACAUGGAACUAUUGUCCAAGUUACUACUGACAACUUUGGUCUUCACUGUCUGUUUGGUUUUCUAGAGUCAUUUAGUGCCAGAUAUUGUUGCAACUUUUGUCUUGCUGAGAAAGAGGACUUUCAGAAAGAGUUUACAGAGGAUUCACCCAAGAUAAUCAUGCGAACUCAAGCACUUCAUACUGAACAUUGCCAAAAAAUGGAGGCAAAUCCCAGACUGCCUUAUGUGAUGGGUGUUAAACAGUCUUGGAUUCUAAACUCAUUGCAGUACUUCAAUACAUGUGAAAAUUUCUCUGUUGAUAUUAUGCACGAUAUCUUGGAGGGAGUCGCACAAUAUGAAAUGAAACUGAUUAUGUUACAUGCAAUAGAUCAGUAUACAACAUCAAAGGAAGUGGACAUGAGAAUUAAGAGCUUAAACUGUGGCUAAAUGGAACAAAACGACAAACCACCUACAGUGAAGUUGGGAGAGGACUCAAAUGACUUGGAGUUAAAUGCCAUCCAGUCCUGGUGUUUACAUCGGCAUCUACCACUCAUCUUUGGAGACUUAGUUUGUCCAAACGAUCAGCACUGGUAUUUGCUACUGCUGUUGUUUCAAAUAGUGAAUAUUGUAUUUUCAGCAGUGUUAUAUAAAAGGUAUCUCCAUUUUCUUGAAACACCUGAUCGCCAAACGCCACAGGUUAUCCAAGGGUUUAUUUCCACACAAGAAGCUGCUACCAAAGCAUCAUUUCGUGAUGCAUUAUCCUACAUGUAUACUUAAAACACGACCACUUUUGCAUAGCUGGUGCAUACGCAAUGAAGCAAAACACAGCUUCUUUAAAAAAAACAAUUGAAAAGUUUCAAAAA
This is a long non-coding RNA of Oreochromis niloticus (Nile tilapia), 1253 nucleotides long. RefSeq lists it as uncharacterized. The transcript has 3 exons. The record is from RefSeq and is a predicted model, not a curated record. NCBI's taxonomy places the organism in Eukaryota, Metazoa, Chordata, Actinopteri, Cichliformes, Cichlidae.